RNAcentral lists this long non-coding RNA (353 nucleotides) under Neogale vison (American mink). RNAcentral's name for it is "Neovison vison (American mink) lncRNA (ENSNVIG00000011517.1)". The record is from RNAcentral. Lineage: Eukaryota; Metazoa; Chordata; Mammalia; Carnivora; Mustelidae.
UUGUUUGUUUGUGGGAUGAGGUGGGCGGAGGGCCCGAGGGAGAUGCUCCGCCGACAGCCUUCCAGGUCAAAGGCGAGCUGCCUUCCCUCCGUGGAGAUGACCAGACGUUGAUGACAAAACGCUUCCGGACAGGAAGAUGGCUUCACCUGGAGUGUGGCGUUAAGACAGAACAGUCUAGAAGUCAGUCUGCCAUCCCUUGGGGAGUCUGCUUGUUAAGGCUGGUGUGCUUUGCCCACAAAAAUUUGAGACACUGUCAUCUGAUCGGGGAACCUGCCUGGCACAAAGGCCCAUCAGACGGCCUGGAAGGGCUCAGAGCCGGGAGGACCUGCUGCCUGCGGUGCCCGGGGCUGUGA